CAAAUGUUAUCGAUAAACAAUUGGAGGGCAAGUCUGGUGCCAGCAGCCGCGGUAAUUCCAGCUCCAAUAGCGUAUAUUAACGUUGUUGCAGUUAAAAAGCUCGUAGUUGAAUUGAAGUGAACUUGGGUUGAUGUGAUCUUCGGAUGACAUGAAUCAAAGUUGACUCUUUCCAAAGUCAAUACAUUGGUAUUCAUUUAUCUUUGUAUUGUGUUUGGUCAUUUACUGUGAGAAAAUUAGAGUGUUCAAAGCAGACGUUUGUUUGAAUACAUUAGCAUGGAAUAAUCAUAUAUGGCUUUCAUGUUGAUUUGAUUGGUUUGAAUAUGGAAGCAAGAUUAAAAGGGACAGUUGGGGGUAUUCAUAUUCAAUAGUCAGAGGUGAAAUUCUGGGAUUUAUGGAAGAUGAACAAGUGCGAAAGCAUUUACCAAGGAUGUUUUCAUUAAUCAAGAACGAAAGUUAGGGGAUCGAAGAGGAU
Molecule: ribosomal RNA, 472 nt
Filed under: Blastocystis sp. KK283
Lineage: Eukaryota; Bigyra; Opalinata; Blastocystidae
Description: SSU rRNA
Rfam family: Eukaryotic small subunit ribosomal RNA
Source: RNAcentral